GCUUUCCAUACGAAAAAUGUGGAAAUAUUUGAGUUUUCUUUAUAUAAAACACAUUUCAUUUAACUUCUUUCAGUUUCACAAGGUGUAAAUCUGUCAUACAUGAUGUUGAUACAGAGAUAAUAAUGCAAAUGUCUGCAAUGACAAUUACUCAAAAUGUCUCAAAGCAACAAAGAAAAUGGUUUUCCUCAGUACACAGAGAGAAACGAUAAAAAGUAAGAAAGAAAAAUACACCCCAUUUACAUGUAAAUUGAUUUUUAUUCUUGUUGCAGAGAAGUCAGCGCAGGAACUAAAUGCAGGACUGAACAAGUAGGAGGUCAGAGCAGAAUACUAAUGAACUUCAUGUCACAAAAACAAAACCUGAGGCGCUGCCAAAGCAGCGAGUCGGCCGACAGAAAACAUGCAACAUGAAGUUAGACGCCUGCAGGAAAACAAGGCUGUGCAGCCAGAAAGCUGAGGAUCUGAAAAACCGCUGAACGAGGAACCAGGAGGAUGAAGGAGCGACAACAGGCUCGGUUUGGAGCUCCAAAAUCAGAAGUGAUCCUGAGGCUGCGGUUCUGCUGCGGUUCUGCCGUGACACGACGGGCAAGUUGUGCUAAUGGGAAAGUUAAAGGGUCAAUCCGCUGAUUUUAUACGUCAAGUUUAUAAUGUCAUUGGUUGAAGAUAUUCAGUGCAUGUCAAGGCAGCUCAGGCCUCCUGGAGCUUUUCACUGUAAAAACUGAGUGGGAGUGCAGUGGGAGCAGAGGAGUGGGAGACGAAGAGGACGGCAGUCUGCGUGGGAACCGGCUUCUGCAGCAGACACUUAACCUGAACAAGCUCCUUCUUUCUUAUUUUGAUUACAUUCACCACUCCAGGCAGAAACUGAACAACCACUGCAACAUCACAGCUCUCACACAGAGAGAAAGUGCUGCGGGACGCUGCGUGGACCUCCUGCUGCAUCAGAGAACCUACACAUAUUCCCUCUGACUGCACCGUUAAAGCCCGACGCGAGGAGCGAGCAGCUAUGAAACGCACACAGACGUCUCUGUCUUCCCGGAUAAGCAGCAGCUGUCUGCCUGUCAGCAGCGCCUGGACAAGAGACACUUUCUGAAAGUCAAAGAUGCAAUCAUGUAAAUCAGGACACAGUUGAAGUCUCCAGCCUGCGGAAUCAGAAAUACAGAAACAGAGCCGGACGGCAGCCAGUGAACAGUUAUUAGGUAACAUGCAGUACAUAAGGGCUUCGACACAAUGUCUGUACAACAACUAAGAACCAAAAUUGGUUCUCAUUAGCUGCUUUUCCGUUACAAAUGUACGCAAAACUUUGUCUAUAUUCCCACACAUUUUCACAUUUGUGGUAAUAAGAAAGGCUAAAAUCACACGUGAAAAAGUUUCUUCAUGCAUUAAGUCAUUAAAGAAACAUGUACUUCCAACUA
Molecule: long non-coding RNA, 1409 nt
Organism: Poecilia latipinna (sailfin molly)
Lineage: Eukaryota; Metazoa; Chordata; Actinopteri; Cyprinodontiformes; Poeciliidae
Exons: 5
Source: RefSeq, a predicted model, not a curated record